AACGAACGCUGGCGGCAUGCCUAACACAUGCAAGUCGAACGAGAUCUUCGGGUCUAGUGGCGCACGGGUGCGUAACGCGUGGGAAUCUGCCCUUUGGUUCGGGAUAACAGUUGGAAACGACUGCUAAUACCGGAUGAUGACGAAAGUCCAAAGAUUUAUCGCCAGAGGAUGAGCCCGCGUAGGAUUAGCUAGUUGGUGUGGUAAAGGCGCACCAAGGCGACGAUCCUUAGCUGGUCUGAGAGGAUGAUCAGCCAAACUGGGACUGAAACACGGCCCAGACUCCUAAGGGAGGCAGCAGUUGGGAAUAUUGGACAAUGGGCGAAAGCCUGAUCCAGCAAUGCCGCGUGAGUGAUGAAGGCCUUAGGGUUGUAAAGCUCCUUUACCCGGGAUGAUAAUGACAGUACCGGAAGAAUAAGCUCCGGCUAACUCCGUGCCAGCCGCCGCAGUAA
This 449-nucleotide ribosomal RNA is filed under the name uncultured bacterium. Its description in RNAcentral is "partial 16S ribosomal RNA". It matches the Rfam family "Bacterial small subunit ribosomal RNA", at positions 29 to 523 of the family's 1533-position model. The record is from RNAcentral.